RNAcentral lists this unclassified non-coding RNA (253 nucleotides) under uncultured Nitrospinota bacterium. RNAcentral's name for it is "uncultured Nitrospinae bacterium contains 16S-23S intergenic spacer region". It matches the Rfam family "Bacterial small subunit ribosomal RNA", at positions 524 to 776 of the family's 1533-position model. The record is from RNAcentral. Lineage: Bacteria; Pseudomonadati; Nitrospinota.
UACGGAGGGGGCUAGCGUUGUUCGGAAUUGCUGGGCGUAAAGGGCACGUAGGUGGUUAGGCAAGUCAGACGUGAAAUCCCCUGGCUUAACCAGGGAAGGGCGUCUGAAACUGCUUAACUUGAGUGCGGUAGAGGAGAGUGGAAUUCCCGGUGGAGCGGUGAAAUGCGUAGAUAUCGGGAAGAACACCGUUGGCGAAGGCGGCUCUCUGGACCGCUACUGACACUGAGGUGCGAAAGCUAGGGGAGCAAACGGG